Molecule: long non-coding RNA, 1634 nt
Filed under: Sorghum bicolor (sorghum)
Lineage: Eukaryota; Viridiplantae; Streptophyta; Magnoliopsida; Poales; Poaceae
Description: long non-coding RNA (SBIC_LNC009305)
Source: RNAcentral
UCCCUUUUAUGAAACCAAAUGUAUGUCACAAAAUAAUUAGUCAACAUGUGAAAAUACAAUUCUUCACAAAUACCAAAGCCGGACUAUGGUUAGGGUAGGUUUUUCUGAUGAAACACUACUAUGCUAGAACAACCAAUCAUUGUUAGGGCCAUUGUCAGUCAUUCUGGAGCCAGCAGUGGUUGCUUAUCACUCGUGGUUCAUAAGCCUAUAGGAUCCAGAAAAUUUAUUGGAAGCGCUAUUCACCCGAAGUCACCUAUCAUUGCCAGCUCAAACCACCAUCCAUCAGUGAAAUACGACUGCCGGGUCAUGCGACAAACAUGUAGUGGUAUGUGUCAUAUUACUGUUAGCUAAGGAUAUGACCCCCAACAUUGAUAUAUUACUGAUAGGUCAUGCCACGAGCUGGAAGUGAUAUUUUCAUAUUACUAUCGGGUUUUAAGAUGACCAGAUAAUGUUCUUUAACCGCUACAUCCACCUAACCUUCAUAUUUAUUGAUUCACCAUUGUUGGAUCCUACUAUCACCAUUGCUUCUGGUUAGAAAAUAAUUCUCCAAAUGCCCUGCCUGUGACGACCUCUUAUAGUCCAACAAGUCAUUGGUUCACUACUUGUGUAUCUAUGUCUAAUAGUAAAGAUAGAAAAUUUCUGCCACUAAUUUUUUCAUCCAGCCUAAUCACUGAUUCUGUCUCGGAACCCGCUUGUGAAGUCCCACGUCUGAUUUUCUUUCCUGUGGAGAUGUUCCCAUCUGUGUCCUUUGUCUCACAAAGUCCCCGCAUCCGUUUUUUCUUCAAUGAAAACGUUAUCUUCCGUGUGCAUUCUCGAGUUCAUUUUUUCUCUUUUUUUCCCUUUCGCUUUCUCACAUUUAGUUGUGACUUUUUUGUUUCUUCUUUUUUGUCUCCUGUUUUUUCUUAUACAUACAGAAAAAUAGAAAAUAAUGGAUAUAGUAUUUUAAGUCUUUGAAAUUCUAAUCCUUUCCUAAUAAAUAAAUAUUUCCAUCACUAAGGCUUGUUUGGAACGCAGUAAUUUUUCCAUGUUCCCGAACUCAUUCCUACGAAAUUUCUGCAUAAUUCCUGUGAAAUCCAUGCGUUCCAAAUUGGCCCUAAGUUGAUGGAAUUUUAAUUAUAUUAGGAAUAAAGCUUAUAAUAUUAGGAUCUGGACGAGGCGAUGGUCUAAUCAAUCUGUGGACUGAAAUCUAGUUUGUCAUCCAAUCCAUUCUAUAUCUACGUACCUAUUUAUAUUCAGAUCUAUCUAUCUAUCUAUCUAUCUAUCUAUCUAUCUAUCUCUCUCUCUCUCUCUCUCUCUCUCUCUAUAUAUAUAUAUAUAUAUAUAUAUAUAUAUAUAUAUAUAUAUAUAUAUAUAUAUAUAUAUAUAUAUAUAUAUAUAUAUAUAUAAGCUAUGCACAUAUAUCAGUACAAGCUUCCAAGCUGUCUGCAUAUACCAGUACUAUUCUCAACGAGGACAGACAUGUCAAAAUCGAGAGAGGUCUACUCAUCAACGAACAGACAAAAUUUUGACUUAAGACAUUAGAAUUAUAUAUUUGAUAUUAUUUCUAUGGAUCCACAAAACAAGUCGUUAAAUUACAUAUUCUCAACGAGGACAGACAUGUCAAAUUCUUGCUCUACCAGCACAUAAAUAGUGUG